GAACAUAAUCAUAAUCAUAAACAUUGACCCCUCUGUGGGAUCUCAUCAAUGCCCCAAUGGGCAAUACAACAUAUGUUGAGUUAGUUUACAUAAACAUCAUACAAGAUCUAGGAUCAUGUAUUAAAAGGGAUACUUUACACAUAGGUCAAGCACAACCUCUAAUCCUCAAUAUCAUUACAAUACACAACUAUUCAUAACUUUACAAUUUAUCAUGUCCACAUUCUAUCUAUUACAUACAAAGACUUCAAUACUUUUGCCGACCUCCUGGUCUACCCUGUACCUGCAAACCUGGGGGAUUAGGGAGAGGGGUGAGCUACUAGAGCCCAGUGAGCAGAAUAAUAAAACAUUUAAAACAUAUGAUAACAUGGAAUGCAUCACAUCACAACUAAUCACAUCAAGGAUGAACUUGUCACCAAUAGCCCUCUACAUAGUCCAACUGUGCCAGAACGUAGAAUGGGUCCUGGUCUUUCUCUUACAUAGUGCCAGCGAACGUAGAAUGGGUCCCACUGGUCUUACAUUCUGUACCGUACAUAUCACAUCGUCACAUCAUAGAUCGAGGGCUAUGGAUCAUCCAACAUUCAUCCACAUCAACAUGGAAAUAUGCAAUGCAACAUAUUCGUGAAUUCUAGUGCAACAACCUAAAUCAUCACAUGGCAUUCAUGAUGCAUGAACAUGCUCAAAACUUUACAAUCGAUUUACUUUAAAACGUAAAGAUUCAUUCCACUCACCUCUGGAUAGCUCUGACCAGACACUGGAACAGCUGACUCACUGCUGGGGUCCUCGGUUCCUCGGGUCCGAACCUACACAGGUGGACUCAAGUGAGGGACCAAAUAACUAGAACAUAACUCUAAACUACUCCCCAAAAACCCCCUAAACAUCAUAGAAAAAUCAUAGAAAAACAUGCAAGAGAAGGCUGGACAGGGCAGGUUCGGCGGCCGAAAGUCCCUCCAGAGCCGAAAGUCAGGCAGGUUCGGCGGCACCUUCGGCGGCCGAAACUCCCAGACAGAGGCGAAACUCAUGCAUGUUCGGCGGCACUUUCGACGGCCGAAACUCCCAGACAGAGACGAAAGUCUCCUUUCGGGGGCAAGCUUCGGCAGCCAAAGGCUGCCUUCACAAGCAUAUUCGGUGGCCGAAAGUUCCUUCGGCUGCCGAACCUGGUUUCUCCCAUAGUGGCAGAAACUCAGCUCUUCUAUGCACAUAUGCCUCCAAAACUUUCCAAACAUGCAUAAACCUAUUCUACAACACACAUACACAAGCAUACAAGCUCCUAGGGGCUUCAAACCAUCAAAAACCCCAACUACAACACAUCAAACAACUCAUAUUGCACAAAACAUCAACAUGAACACAUAAACUCCAACAUAACCUAACUAUAAGCUAAACAUGCAUUCUACCCCAUAGAUCUUCAUAAAACUUACUUAAAACAUGCAAUGAGCUUAAGAUCGGCUCUUACCUCGUGGAGAUCGAGAGAGAGACGACCUAAACUCGGAGAUGGGAGGGGUUGAGUUUCCUUGAACCUCAAAGCUCCAAAACUUGCUCAAAACUUGAAAAUCUUCAAAACAAGGCAAAAACUCAUGAAAAUCUUGAAAGAUCUGAAGGAAGAACUCAAAGAUUGGUGAGGGACGGUGGAGAGCUCACCUUGGCCGACAACGGGGAGAAAAGCUCGCCCGUUUUCGGCUAAGGGACCCUUUUAUAGUGGCUGGCCAGGCCACGUUCGGGGGCCGAACGUGCCCCCUCAUGCAUGCCAUGUUCGGCGGCCGAACCUGGACUUCCCUCACUUAUGUUUUCGGGGGCCUAAAGCACUCCCGAAGUGCAUGCAUGUUCGGCGGCCGAACUUGAGGUUCGGCGGUCGAACCUGAGUUUUCCUCCAAGGUUGUUUUCAUGCAAAAACUCAUUUCCUUUUCACUUAAAAUCAUGAAACACAUUAAAACAUUUUAUGAAAACAUGUUUCUACCCUACUAGAGGCUUCCGACAUCCGAGAUUCUACCGGACGGUAGUAAUUCCGAUACCGGAGUCUAGCCGGGUAUUACAGGUUUGAACUUUGUACAGCUAGAAAAAUCAAAAUUAUAACUCGCAAAAUCAAAAUUCUGGAGUCUGUCCGUCAGCUUAGGCUACAGCCUUGGGUAAGGCUGUACCCUCCAGUCAAAAAAACUCUAAAACAACCUCUUUUUGUUCAUUUUCUCAUUUUCUGCUCAAAACCUUUUCAAAAUCAAAUUCCAAGUAAAAAUCAAUUGUUUAUAUCAAAAUCAUAGCAAAAUCAUGAAAUUUUUAAUAUGGAAAAAGUGGUGAGUUUUGCAACUCAUCAAAUUCUCCCACACUUGCACCUUUGCUCGUCCUCAAGCAUAGAAAUUCAAACAACAAUAGAAAAACAACAUUGUCCUCAACCAUUUGAAACUUAAUUUGUCCAAAGAAAAGAACCAAAUUGUCAUGUAAUAAGAUAAUAGCAAAAAUAGCUUAAUUUCACUAAAAUUCAUUUCAACAAAUCUCAUGUUUAAAGCGUGUUUCUCAAGUCAUAAAGCUAGUCCUCAAUCAAAUUUCAAGCACAAAAUAUUUAGAAUGCCAUUAAUAUUAAACUUCCCUUUUGAAAGAAUAGAAUCUUAGAAACAUUUGGCUAGACCGAUAAAAUUAAAAGAUUUUGGAGAGUUUUAUUAUACUUCCUACUAUAUCUUGCCUGAAAUCGAUAAAGUGAACGUGAAACAAAUGGUUAUUGAGCCAUUUGCCCCAAGUUAUUCAGCUCAAGUGGCUAGUAGCUCCACUCAUGGUCACCUAACUAAAGGCACGGGGCGAGUUUUUAAACGGCCCAAAAGGGAUGAUACUCUCCCAAACACUGAUUUUUUCAUACAGAAUCAUCUUAAGGGGUCACCAAGUACUGCACUACUUGGACCAUCGAGUUGUUAACCAAAUAACUACGUAACUAGAUAAGUGGGUCAUAGGAGUGCAUUAAUUUCUAAUUUUUUACUAUCUUUCUUUUUUCUUUUUCUUUUCUUUCCUUUUAAUGACACCCCUUAAUUUUCACAUAAACACAUAGUCUAGAUAAUGUCCUUUAAGUCAUUCUCAACAAAGGGAAGCAACUCAUUUAAAAAAACAUGCAUUCAUUAUCAACUAUUUAAAUAAGGACCAUAUUUCAUAAACUCUCAAAACAAGCCUUAAAACCAAAAAUAACAAAAUGAACAAUGAUGAAUUUACUCUAUUUAGGCUAACAUACAAAUGGUAUAAAAACUUUAAUUCUAUGAUAAGAACAUAUCAAUUUCUCAUGUCAAGUAAGGAAUUUUUUUUUUUAAUAAACCUCAAAAACAGAAAAAUAAAAAUCUUAAAAAGUGACAAAAUCAACAAGUGCAAGUGCUGAGAAAUUGCUGAGAAAUAGAAAAACAAGGAAAGUGUACAGGCUUGGGCAAGCCUUUAGCCAUCAGUAAAAAAAUUGUGCAGAAAUAGCAGAACAGAAGAAAAAUUCUAAGAACACACAGCAGAAAAAUAUGUACAUUCAGAAAAAUAUGUACAUCAAUCAAUCACAGCCAAAACACUUCUAUUCCAAUUACUUCUUCCCCCCAUACUUGCUCCUCACAUUGUCCUCAAUGUGGAAAAAAAUUGAAACAAUGGGGAAAGUAUAUCAGCAUAUUAGCAAAAGUGAGUAAAGAGAACUUUCCUGAGGACUAAGUUUCCUAAAACUUCAGGUUGGUGGAGGUUGGGGUAUAGGCAACCCUAAGUGGGAGAGAAUGACAUCCAACUUUGCAUCAAUGUGGUGCAUUUUCACCUCAAUUCUGGCUAGGCGGGUUGAUUAUCAGGUUCUGGAGGUGUUGUUGAGGAAGCUGGAGCUAACUUGUCCACUGUCCAAAAUAAAUGCAAUCGUGGUGGAAUGAUAGGACCUGAAGGACAAAGUAUAAUUUUCUUUCCUCUCAUUUGAGGCAAAAUAAGCCCAUAGAGUUAAGUGCAAGUAUAUCAAGAGGAAGAAUAUGCUCAGCUAUGUGAAAAUCAGUGUUUUCUGUGUCAAGCACACCCAAUCCUAUGGCUAGCAUAGAAAUCACAAAACCUAGAUAUAUACCACGCCUAGCAUUAGAUAUACUUUUAAACUUGGAGGCUAACCAGAAACUAAAAUUAACUUUCCGUUAAUCAACAUACACAAUGAAAAGAAGAGUUCAUACUUUGUCAGCUUGGUGGGAUCUUUAUUUUUUUCCAAAAAAUGUAUAACAAAGAAACUUGUGAAUAUAUCUAAGGGCAGGGCUUUGGAUAUCAUUGGCUUUAGAUUUUUCUCCCUUAAAUUCAAGCUCAGGUUUCCCUGUUAAUUCUUUGUAUACCAAAAUUGAAUUCCAACCAGCUGAUAAUCACAUAAUGAGUCUAGGUAGUCAGCAGUUUUAAUAUAAUUAUCAUUAUAAAUACCCAAAUACAAAUUAAAACCUGUAAUUGAAUAAUGUACCAGUUUAUUCUGCAAUCUAAAGUGAAUAAUAGGUACAUUUAAAUUGAAAUUUCGCACAUCAAAAGAGAAUUCAUAGGUGGCAUAAAAUUCAUGGCACAAUUCAACAUAAGAGGGGUAGUUUAUGAUAAAGAAUUUUCUCCACCCAAUAUUGUCAACUAAAACAUAAACCUCAUCAUAUAAUUGCAACGGGUCAAGGCAGCAUCACUUAUUCUUUUGCAAGCAAAGAUAUCAGAAUGGAGAAAAUUUUGGUACCUGACCUUAUCAUCACCUUCAAAAUUGAAGUCGCAUGCGGGUCUUGCUCCUCGGGAGAGUAUCUGGCCCUCCUAGCAGCUAUCCUAGGCAUUCAUUUUUGUUGUUUCUUCUUCGAAGGAGAAGCAGGCUGAAUCUCCUCACUGUUGAUGGUCUCUACCUCUUGGCCCAUUGUUCCCUUCUCAUUAUGACUCGAGACUGUGUCCUCGUUACUGCUUUCUGAAGCCUACAAGACUAAUGUGGUGGUCUUGAGUUGUGUUUUUCUGUCCUGUAGCUAGUUUAGAAUUUCAGGUUUGACCUCCCAUUCAUCUUCCUCAUCAUCGGUGUGCACCUCAUGGAUAGGGGUUUUGCCCUUUACCUACGAAUGAGUCGUCCUCCUUAUCGCGACCGGCGGAGAGGAUGGCGAUGGGGCAGAAUCGCUGGCGAUGGGACAGAAUCACUGGCAACGCGGCUACCACUUGUAGUGGUAUCGUUGGCGUGUUUGUCGCCCUUCCAGCUGCUUGUGCUUCCAUUGCUAAAGUCACCAUCGUGGUCGAUGAAGCAUGGUGGCGGUGUGUGGAGGUAGGCACAGUGGCUGGCAUGGCAUCAGGCUGGGUCGUGGUUUGCAGAGUCUUCACCAUAGCUGUCCCUACGAAGAAAGAGAGUAACGCGAAAGAGAGAGGGAAAUAGUGUGUUGACGGCAUGGGAAGAAGAGAAAAGAAAAGAAAAGUGAAUAAGGGUUUUGGAUUUUUAAAUGAAAGUAAUCAGUAAAUAAAAAUAGUAAAAAAAUAAAAUUACUUCUUUUAAGAGCAGUUAUAAGACUUACUCAAAUAAUGUACCACUCAAAUAAUCAUUAAAGGUUAUAUUAUCUUUAUAAAGUUCAGACUUGUCCAGAAGAUCUAAUAUGCUCCAAGAUUGAAGAUAAUAAAGAAAUAAAAGAAUAAAAAUUAAAAAUUAAAAGAAAAACCUCCUAGUAACCGGACAGGCUUGGGUAAGCCUGUCGCCUUAGGUUGCCUCCUAAGCAACGCCCUUGUUUACUGUCCUAGGCUGGACAUUAGUGGCAUGUUAAACUUCAUCCACUUCCAUCUUCGUAUUCAUUCAGCACCCAAAUCAACUUCUUUGCUUCUAAAAGAUUAAACUUGGAGGAGAUUUUGAUCGAAAGUGUGUUGUUACUUUCCAAAAAUACAUAUUUCAAAUGAGCUGAAAGUGUUUUCAACUCAGGUUUCGGUGCCUUAUGGGUCGAAGUGUCCAAUGAGUGGACCGUCUCUAUGAUCUCCUCACCGAGUUGGGUUGCACAAUUGCCUAGAUAGUCCAAUGUCAAUUUUUCGGUCAGAACUACCUCCAUUUUAUCUUCCUUGCUGCAAAGAGAAAAAUUAUCAUCAGGAUACUUCAUUGCAUCAUAGACAUUAAAUUUUACCUCUUCUUCGUCAAACUCCAUUGUGAGCAUGCCUUUGUGUAUGUCGAUCUUCGUUCUAGUUGUGCAAAGAAAUGGUCUUCCUAGCAACAAAUCGGUGGAGUUAGAUGAAUUGUCAUCUUCCAUGUCUAAGACAAAAAAGUCUGCUGAAAAAAUUAAUUUCCCUACUUAGACUAAGACAUCCUCCAACACACGCUUAGGAUAGACUAUUGAUCUAUCAGUGAGUUGGAGUGUGAUUUCUGUUUGUUUUAAAGGACCUGCAUCCAAAGACAAAUAAACAGACAGAGGCAUAACAUUUAUGGAAGCUUCUAGAUCAUAUAUUGCCUUCUUAACUUUAAAGUUUCCAACUUUACAUGAUACUGCAAAUAUGCUUUUACCUUUACAUUUUUGUGGAAUUUUUCUUUGAAGUACAGCUGAUACAUUUUCACUUACUUUUAUCUUUCCAUGCUCAUAUAAUUUCCUUUUAUUAGUGCAAAGGUCUUUUAGAAAUUUCGCAUACUUGGGUAUUUGCUUUAUUGUUUCAAGAAGGGGUAUGUUUACCUGGGCUUUGCAAAAAAUCUCCAAGAUCUCUUUUUCUUCCCUUUCCCUUUUAUAUUGAGUAAGUCUUUCAGGAAAACGAGGACGUGUUACCUAGAUUAGAGGUUGUUCUACCUUUGAUUUCUAGGCUGGUUCUCUGCUGGAAUUUUCAAUUCUGCUUUUGGCAUUAGAUUUGUCGCACUGCUUUAGGCAAGCCUCUUCGAGCUGGCAAUUUCCAAUUCUUUCUCGCUUUGCAAUGUAAUUGUACUUGCUUUCUAUUUUGGGUUUGGCACGGUUUGGGAGGACAAUAUUCCUUGAGAUUCCAGCUUGCUUACUGAUGUAACGAGUUGGCUCAAUUGGUUCUCCAAAUUCUUUAUGCUCGAUAUCGUUUUCUAUUGAAAUGUAAAAGUGCUAUUAGCAAGAGAUUGCACAAUGUCUUCUAAAGAUAUACCUGAUUUUGCAGCUUGUUGAUAAUUUGUUCUUGGCUGAAAAUUCUACUGUCUAUUUCAUAGCUAAGAUUUGGAUGAUCUCUCAACUCUGGAUUGUAUGUAUUUGAAAAUGGGUCAUACCUCCUUUACUGUCCAUUGAAUCCUCUAAUGGCAUUUACUUGUUGCUCAUCUUCCUAAAGGGUAGGACACAUGUCUGUGGAUGGUCGCCUUGUUUGCAAAUGGCACAAGUGCGUACAUUAUUUCCUAUAGCCAAUUGUUGAAUUGCAGCAGUAAGUUGUGAAAUUUUAGAAUCUAAAGAUGCAAUACUUAUCUCAUUCGCAUUUCUGGGAAUGUUCUCAUCUCAGCCAUACUGUCUAGAGUUGGCAGCUAAUUUCAAGAUUAAAGUUUUACCUUCUUCAGGUUCCAUUUUCGCAAUAGCUCCUCCACUAGCAGCAUCUAUUAUUCUCCUUUCUAAUGGAAAAAGCCCUUCAUAGAAGUGAAGGUUGAGUUAUUUUGGAGUGAUUCCAUAUUUUGGAUAGCUUGCAAUUAAUUUUUUAUAAUGUUCCCAAUAUUCAUGGAGAGUUUCACUUUUUCUUUGUUUUAUUUCACUUAUUUCCUUUCUUAUAGAUGAAGCUUUAGUUGCUAAAAAAAAUCUUUCUAAGAACAAGUCUCUAAUCUAUGCCCAAAUGGUGAUUGAACCAGGGGGCAUGUAGUAGAGCCAAUCCUUAGCAGAUUCAAUCAAAGUAAAAGGAAAAGCUACUAACCUAAUUUGUUCAUCAGUUAUCCCCUGUGGUCACAUACUUGAACAAACCACAUAAAAUUCUUCCAUAUGAUGAUGUGGGUGUUCAUUCUCUAACCUUUAGAAUUUUGGUAACAUAUAAAUCAUACAUGUUCGCAAUUCUAGGGGUCCAUUUAACAUUGGGUAUGUGAUGCAAAGAGGUUGCUCUUCGACAAAGCUGCGGCCAUUGUGUCUCUUUGGUUGGUGUAAACUGGAGGUUCGAUCGGUGUUGAAGACGUUGUGUCUUUGGUGUAACGACCCGAAAAUCGGACUGCUACCGGCGCUAGGAUCCAGGUCGGCUUAAGGCCGCCGGAACCCGUAGUAAGCCUAACAUAAAACCUGUAAACCUGCUUAAUCCCAUACAUGAUCAAGAAUAUACAUAAAAAUUAAAACUUUUCUUUCAUACAUUCUCUCAUACACCAAACUCAACCUGUGCAUGCACUGAACAUAGACAUAAUCAUAAACAUUGACCCCGCUGUGGGAUCUCAUCAAUGCCCCAAUGGGCGAUACAACAUAAGUUGAGUUGGUUUACAUAAACAUCACAAAACAUCUAAGAUCAUGCAUAAAAAGGGAUACCUUACACAUUGGGUCAAGCACAAUCUCUAAUCCUCAAUAUCAACACAUACAUUACUAUUCAUAACUUUACAUCAUUUUACAAUUUAUCAUGUCCACACUCUAUCUAUUACAAACAUAUGACCUCACGACUCUUGCCGACCUCCUGGUCUACCCUGUACCUACAAACCUGGGGGAUUAAGGAGAGGGGUGAGCUACUAGAGCUCAGUGAGCAGAAUAAUAAAACAUUCAAAACAUAUUAUAAUAUGGAAUGCAUCACAUCACAGCUAAUCACAUCAAGGAUGAACUUGUCA
RNAcentral lists this long non-coding RNA (8638 nucleotides) under Manihot esculenta (cassava). Its description in RNAcentral is "long non-coding RNA (MESC_LNC008713)". Lineage: Eukaryota; Viridiplantae; Streptophyta; Magnoliopsida; Malpighiales; Euphorbiaceae. The record is from RNAcentral.